Molecule: ribosomal RNA, 1070 nt
Filed under: Rutripalpus limicola
Lineage: Eukaryota; Metazoa; Arthropoda; Arachnida; Trombidiformes; Rutripalpidae
Description: partial large subunit ribosomal RNA
Rfam family: Eukaryotic large subunit ribosomal RNA
Source: RNAcentral
AACCGCUUGCAGGUAAACAGAUGGACCCACGAAGUCCAGUUGAGUGAGGGAUUCACAUAUUUCGAAAGGCGAUUGAGUCAGUGAGGUCCCUUGUGGAGUAAGCUGUCACUUUCUGUCGAUUGAAAAAUGCAUUUCCUUCGCUCACGAUGGAGCUCUGACUGCUCGAAUGAUUUUAACUGCUUAUGGCAGCCGUUGUUUGUGGUGGAAUCUUCGGAUUCACUUCACUCUCAGUGGUAGAUAAGUGAAAUCAUUAUGAGUAGGUGAAUUACCUACAAUUGUAGGUUUCUCAGGUUGUCGAUGCUCACUACGUUGUCAAUGUAGAGAGUUCAAUAGACCCUUCGGCUCUUGCAGUUGAAGACUAUUAGCUUCUCGACAUUAAGUGCAGUGAAGUGAGUAUCAAUGAUGAUCCAGAGUAAGUAGGUCGGUCAUCCAUCUGACCCGUCUUGAAACACGGACCAAGGAGUCCAACAUUUGCGCGAGUCGCUCGGUCUUGUUCAGGCCUGAGAGGCGAAAUAAACAUAAUGGUAUGAUCUUUUAACUACCUUUCGAGGUGUAAAGGCGCAAUACCAACCUGCUUAUCUUGCCUUUUGACAAGUAAGUGGAGUUUGAGCGUAAAUGUUGGUACCCGAAAGAUGGUGAACUAUACUUGGGCAAGACGAAGCCAGAGGAAACUCUGGUGGAGGUCUGUAGCGAUUCUGACGUGCAAAUCGAUCGUCAGACCUGAGUAUAGGGGCGAAAGACUAAUCGAACCAUCUAGUAGCUGGUUCCCUCCGAAGUUUCCCUCAGGAUAGCUGGUACUAACACUCUGUAGCAUCCGGUAAAGCGAAUGAUUAGAGGUCUUGGGAUCGAAACGAUCUCAACCUAUUCUCAAACUUUAAAUGGGUGCGAGGCUUGACUUUUUUGCUCUAAAGUCUUGCUUCGUAAGAGUAGUACCAAGUGGGCCAUUUUUGGUAAGCAGAACUGGCGCUGUGGGAUGAACCAAACGUUGAGUUAAGGCACCAAAUGCAGACGCUCAUGAGACCCCAUGAAAGGUGUUGGUUGCUAUAGACAGCAGGACGGUGGCCAUGGAA